Molecule: long non-coding RNA, 5079 nt
Organism: Macaca fascicularis (crab-eating macaque)
Lineage: Eukaryota; Metazoa; Chordata; Mammalia; Primates; Cercopithecidae
Source: Ensembl
UGACCUGUAAGAUUAGCAUGAUUUUACCUGUGCUUUACUUCUGUUCUUCUCUACUUUUGUCGUUAGUAGGUGUCCAAAAAAUGUCUUUUUGUGCUGCUUAAUUUUUGGAUUCUGGAUGCAAUUCAGUGCAUGUAAAGAAACUACUUGCUUGUCAGUAUUUUAAUUCUGUAGUACAUUUGUGUGAAUAUCAACCAGCACUUACAGUAGGAGAAUGAAAAGAAAAACUGAGAAAGCCUCUCUUUCAAAGGAUGGGAUAAUCCACUUUUUGAGGGAGAAAGUGACAGUUUGGAGUGGGAUUUGAAAAGUGUAAAUGGUGGAAAAAUUUGAGCUGUUGAAGUCCCACAUAUAACCAGAUUUGAUAAAGUUUCACAUGUGGAUUAGCUUCGUGUGUGUAGAAGGUGCUUUUAUAGCAGGUCCUUAAAUACUCCUUUUGAAAUUCCUUUUUUAAAAAAUCAUACCAUUACUUCUUUGGAUAUGAAUGUCCCAAGUGGUAUCUCAUACUGUAGUAUGAGGAAGAAUGGAUGUUAAUGUAUUGUUUUGAAUUUUGGUCUUCUCUUGUCCUGGAUCAUAUCCAGUCACCACUAUGCAACAAAUGAUGUGCACUGGGCAAGGAUAUGAUGGGUUAUUCAAACUGUAUCUUGCUUGUUUUUUCUUUUGCAGUACUCCAAGUGGUCUAAACAGGAAUGUCUUGUAAACCUCAAGACUCCCUAUUGAUUAUUCCCUUACAUAUUUAUUUACAAUUUAUCAGGGUAAUUGGUGGUGCCUUAUGAAAAGCAUAACUUGAUUUCUUGAUCUUUGAGCAUGUUUUGUGUUUCUUCUGUUUUCUGAAAGAAUAUUAGAUAUGGUUGAUUGCAUUACAUCUAAAAGAUUUAAAAAUUAUGUGUAUGCUCAGGUUCCCCACACCCACACCCACCCCUACCCCCUGUCAUUUACAUUGGUGGCAACUUUAAAUGGUAACUAAGUAAAAGUACAUUUUGGUAAGGAGUAUUGAUAAUCCUGAGGAAAACUAGUGAGUACAUGGGAGCCACCUUUAACCUGUGCCAAAGCAGUUUCUAAUUUCAUUUGCUCUCUAACUGCAAAAUAAAGAACUGAGCUGAAAUAAUUUGAUCAGUGGUGUGAUUAGCCUAUUAUCAUUGCUGAGAAUAGUGUUUUUGGAGUGUGAAGUGAUUCCUGAAGAUUUCACCUGCCUUCUGUUUCCAGCAAGAAUCCAGUGAUGACCAACACAUUUCCUCACCUUUGGUUCUUGAGAAGUUUAUCCCUUUGCAACAAACCAUUAAUAGGGAAGACAAGGAAAUGCUUUCCUUUUCUCUUUGGCUUCUUAACCAAUUCAGACCCCAAGUUACUUCAGAGAAGCAAAUGGCACCUUUUCCCCAUUGCCAAGGAUCCUAGCUUAUGCAGAUAUGAAGGACAGAUCAUUUCUGAAAAUGUUAAGACUCUGCUUGCUGUGAACUUGGCCUCAAAACAGUUUCAUGAAAUGUGUAACUCUCUAUGUGUAUGUUAGGAGGAGGGUUGGUGGAAAGAGCAGGGGCGGGGAGGGAAAUCUGAUUACCUCCUGGGAAAUAAUUUUCUUGCCAACAAAAAGAUACACUUGAAGUUUCUUAAGGUGGCAAAUCCAUUAAAAAAAAAAUUGUGUUGGACUCUCCCAGUUUAGAUCAAGUAUUUCUUGGGGGUCUUGACAUUGUGGUUGAUACCAGUAAAUGAAAGAUCCAGAACAUUUUCAUUUAAAGCUCAACCAUUAAUUGGAACAUGGUGAAACAUUUUACACAUUAUAAAAGUAGGGAACAGUACAAAAGAAUGCAAUCAAAUACUAUAUUAUGUAAAUAAACUAGAGUGAUUUUGGAAUUUCACUCUUCACUCCUUCUCACUUGUUUGUUCUUUGAAGUGUAUUUCUACCUUGGUAGGAAGAAAGACUUGAUUUAAUCUUUCCUUAAAGAUCCAUGAAAUUUCUUUAUUAGGCAGAACUUCUCCCUAGCCUUAUCUCUGGAGCUAGGUUGUGUAUCUUGUCCGUGGGGGGAAGAAGGCACCACCAGAAGCAGCUUUAGAAAUGGCUUGGUGGUCCCACCUUGUGUUAAGGAGCCUUUUUGAAGGUGUCAGGGACAUAGGAUGAAAUCAGAAUUUUCUUUAGUUUCAAAAAAGGUUUUCAGAAGCCCAGAUGAGAACCUUAGAAUUACAGAAUGUAAAGAACACUGGAUUUGGGAAUAAAAUAAUCUGGGUUUUAGCUCUAUGUUUGGCCCCUUAUGUGAGUUGCUUAUCUAUUGUGGCCCUUGGUUUCCUACCAUAUGCAAGUUAGUCACAAAGAAACAAGUUAUAGCCCCUCCCCUUGACAGGGUAAGACGUAGAUGAUUUCUAAGGAUGUUUCUUCCUAAAAAGGUUAUAGAAUUUAAAGAUGACAACAGAGGCUGUAUAGUCCAAAUCCCCAUUUAAUGAGAGAAAAAUUGAUUGGGCACUCCUGAGGACAGAACAUACAGUGUCUGUCCUAUCUUGGAAAAAUCUAAGUAUUGGUCACUAACAUGUAUCGGAGCUUGCCUAUAGUCUUCCCUCUGCUGGGGUCUGAAUUUUGCGGCAUUUUUGAGCACUUUCCCUUUUGCCGUGGGACUAGCAUAUCUGCAUCUCUCUAUUCCAUUCAGUGCUGAACUCCUGGGAGGUAAGGCGAGAGUGUUAGACACAUUUUGACAAACCUAGCCUAACCGUUCCGUCAUCUGUGGGCCCCUUCCCUCUGCAAAUUGUGCUGCUCUGUUGAGACCAGCAGCUUUAGUCUUUCUGACCUAGCCCUGCCAUCUCUAACUGGGGCUAAACUUCACUGAGACACAAAACAGCGUAUCAUUCGUGUUCUCUUUCGUACCUUGAGUAACAAUUCAAACUCAUGUCACCUUGGUCACUUCCCAGGACUUGUUUUGUCAUAGAAGCAUCUCGUUCCAGAGUUCAGUUGAAACACUGAGAGACUGGUUUGAUUCCCUUUGCUUCUCAUCCGGAUAAUGCAUUGCUGCCAUCUGAAAUAAGCCCAUCCAGUCAUCAGGCCUCAAAUUGCUACCUGUUUUCCUCAAUUCGUUUUACCGUUGCUGCCGUCCUUGCCAGUUCUUUGCAUUAUAGAGAUUUUCAUUCCCUAUUCCUUUGUAAAUAUGCUUUUCUGCUUUUUCAUUAACUGGAAACGGACUCUCCCUCAGCCGUACUUGCCUUAGGACUCUUUCAAGUGGAGAGUGUUCGUCUUCUCACUUUUCUGCCGGUGAAUGGAUGGACUACAGGGUCUGCUGCCCCUGUGUUCUUGAUUCCACUGCUACACCGUUGUUCUUCUGUCCCGAGGCUUCUGCUGUUCAGCUGCACCGUCUGUCCUCCUCACCGCCAUCUCUGGUCACUCCCCUUCAUUUAUGGAAGGGACUUUGAUGAUUGAUGGGCAUCUCUUUCCCCAGUGCUGCCAUCAUUCUGGGCAGUUUCAUUAGUCAUGGAUGACCUUAAUUUCUGGACCUCCAUCUCCACUAGUCAUUUUCACUCCAUUUAGCAAACCAGUUUUAAGUCAACACUUUGGACUCAUCAGAAAUUUAUUUUCUGAAAUGUAGAAUCGAUAAUUCUAUGAUUUUAGUGUCCUUUAAUUUCUUCCUCUCAGUAUACAGUAUACUUAUUCUUUGACCUCAAGAAGCCUCCAGUUCCUUAACCAACCUUCCCCACCCCCCCCACCCCCGUUUGUCAGUUUACUCUGGCUUUACCGCUUCCCCGUUUAGCAUCGACUGUGGCCUGUCGCUCUGGCUCUGCAGAAACUUAUCGCUGGAUCAGUUUGGCUGUCUUGACUUCUUUGCUUUCAUGGGCUGCUGCGUACUACUGAGUAUGUACCAGUGGUUGGUGGCACCACAGAUUCUGACUUCUUUGCUUUCAUGGGCGGCUGCGUACUACUGAGUGUGUACCAGUGGUUGGUGGCACCACAGAUGGACUCGAGUAGGCAGGUGCUUGAAGCAGUUCAGCAGCCCUGGCCGUCCAGCAACCUCUUCCAUUCUUAAAGACUAUUUCAGAUUUUCACCUCUUGUCAAAUAGCCUGUCACCUCUGCUGCCUCUGCAGAGGCCUACCCUCCUAAUGGGUAAAUUGAAGCUAACAGGAGAGCUGCUAAGCUUCUUCCUCAGUUAUCUAUAUCAUCAUCCUCAUCUGUCCCAGAGGAGGGGUCUGUCCUGUGGUCAACACUAUGAAAGUAUAGGUGAAUGAGCUAAUCAGUGAAUCCUAUCCCAUUGUAACUCCUUAGAGACCUUGUUCUGUCAGUCAGCCCUUUAUCUUCCGCAUCUUUCAUUUAGCAUAUAAUUUCAAGCUCUGUAUUGAACAGGAGAGCUCAACUCCUAUAUGUUUUCCCUUGAACCUGUCUCUUUUCCUGUUCUCUUCUUCUUAUUGAAAUGCUACCUCUUCAGAGGCCCCCAUGUUUUCUCUUGCAAUGGCCUGUUCUAUUCCAUUAGGGGACUUUGCCAUAUAUGGCAUAUUUGUGUAAAAGUUCCAUGAGAGCCUAGGUUUUGUUUCCUUUCUCUCUCCAUAUGCAGCAACUAGAACAAUACUAUGCAUAAACAUUCAACAGAUAACUUGAAGGAAUGCUGUUUCAUGCCUUCGUUCCUUCCUAUACAUUAUUGCUCCCCUGUUGUUCUCUGUUUGGACUGCCAUAACCUCAUCUGCCUUUUCUCCUUACUACUUUCUCAUUCUUCAAAAUUCAGCUCAUCCCCAAAUUCCUCUGAGAAGUUCUUCAGGUUACUCCUCUCCAUCUAAUCUGAGUUAGAUGUCCUUUCUUGGAGCUCUAAUAGCGUUUAGACUAGACACCGGUCCUCAGAGUGAGGCUUCUGCAUGGACAGCAUCACCGUCAUCUGGGAAUUCAUUAGAAAUGCAAACUAUGAGGCCCUACCCUAGACUUUCUAAAUCAGAAACUCUGGGAAUGGGGCCAGCAACCUGCGUUUUAACAAGCCCUGAAGGUGACUGUGAUGCAUGCAAAGUUUGAGGACCACUAGAACAUAGUCCCUGUAGAAUAUAUCUCCAGGAUCUGACACAACACACAGAACAGGAUUAUUGUGAAGAUCUUCCUUAUAAAGACCUGAAGUCUAUCUUCCUGUAGCCUCAUC